This 621-nucleotide ribosomal RNA is filed under the name Salmonella enterica. RNAcentral's name for it is "partial 23S ribosomal RNA". It matches the Rfam family "Bacterial large subunit ribosomal RNA", at positions 568 to 1191 of the family's 2925-position model. The record is from RNAcentral. Lineage: Bacteria; Pseudomonadati; Pseudomonadota; Gammaproteobacteria; Enterobacterales; Enterobacteriaceae.
AAGCAGAGGGGGCUUAGUGGUGGGGUGACUGCGUACCUUUUGUAUAAUGGGUCAGCGACUUAUAUUCUGUAGCAAGGUUAACCGAAUAGGGGAGCCGGAGGGAAACCGAGUCUUAACCGGGCGUUAAGUUGCAGGGUAUAGACCCGAAACCCGGUGAUCUAGCCAUGGGCAGGUUGAAGGUUGGGUAACACUAACUGGAGGACCGAACCGACUAAUGUUGAAAAAUUAGCGGAUGACCUGUGGCUGGGGGUGAAAGGCCAAUCAAACCGGGAGAUAGCUGGUUCUCCCCGAAAGCUAUUUAGGUAGCGCCUCGUGAACUCAUCUCCGGGGGUAGAGCACUGUUUCGGCUAGGGGGCCAUCCCGGCUUACCAACCCGAUGCAAACUGCGAAUACCGGAGAAUGUUAUCACGGGAGACACACGGCGGGUGCUAACGUCCGUCGUGAAGAGGGAAACAACCCAGACCGCCAGCUAAGGUCCCAAAGUCAUGGUUAAGUGGGAAACGAUGUGGGAAGGCCCAGACAGCCAGGAUGUUGGCUUAGAAGCAGCCAUCAUUUAAAGAAAGCGUAAUAGCUCACUGGUCGAGUCGGCCUGCGCGGAAGAUGUAACGGGGCUAAACCAUG